AUUGAACGCUGGCGGCAGGCCUAACACAUGCAAGUCGAACGCGUGGCGGACGGGUGAGUAACGUCUGGGAAACUGCCCGAAGGAGGGGGAUAACUACUGGAACCGGUAGUUAAUACCGCAUACCAUCAGAUGUGCCCAGCUGGGAUUAGCCUGUUGGUGGGGUAACGGCUCACCAAGGCGACGCUCCCUAGCUGGUCUGAGAGGAUGACCAGCCACACUGGAACUGAGACACGGUCCAGCCUCCUACGGGAGGCAGCAGUUGGGAAUAUUGCACAAUGGGCGCAAGCCUGAUGCAGCCAUGCCGCGUGUGUGAAGAAGGCCUUCGGGUUGUAAAGUACUUUCAGCGGGGAGGCGUUACCCACAGAAGAAGCACCGGCUAACUCCGUGCCAGCAGCCGCGGUAAUUC
RNAcentral lists this ribosomal RNA (406 nucleotides) under uncultured bacterium. RNAcentral's name for it is "partial 16S ribosomal RNA". It matches the Rfam family "Bacterial small subunit ribosomal RNA", at positions 30 to 526 of the family's 1533-position model. The record is from RNAcentral.